CUUCGGCUCUUCCCGGAGCCGCUUCGGGCGUUUCCGGAGCCGUUCGGCUCUUUCCGGACCCCUUCCGGUGUUUCCGGAGCCCGCUCGGCUCCGCCCCGCCCCCUCCCUUCGGCUACUUCCGGCAGACUUCGGCUACUUCCGGUAAGCUUCGGGUGUUUCCGCCCUGACCUCGGCAACUUCCGGAAAUCUUCGGCAACUUCCGGCCAGGCUUCGGCUCCUCCCGCUCCCCCCCCGCCCCUCGGGGUCCCCUUCGGCAAUUUCCGUCAAUUUUCGCCAAUUUUCGCCGAUUUCCGCCCAAACUUCGGCUUUUUCCGCCAAUUUCCGCCAAAUUUCGGCCCCCUCCCGCCCCCUCUCGCCCUCCCCCUUUCUCCCCCUCCCCUCUCCUAACCCGGAUGUGACGUCAUCCCGCCCCACCGGAAGUGGCGGCCUGCUUCCGGGUCGUGGGUGGGCGGGGUUACGGCGGAUGUGGCGUCACGGGGCGUGCCGGAAGUGGGGGGGGGGGCGGUGUUUUGGGUAGGGUCGCCUCCAAGGGGUUUGUUUACGUCGGGAGGGGUCGUUUAUGUAGGGUCUACCGGAAGUGGGCGUGUUUACAUCCCGCGGGUUUGUGUAGGGCCUACCGGAAGGCCCCUUGUUUGUGUAGGGCCUACUCAAAAGGGGGUUGUUUACGUCGGGCCUACCCCAAAGGGCGUUGUUUACGUUGUGUUCUUGCCCGUGGGUUUAUGUAGGGCCUACCAGAAGGCCCCUUGUUUACAUAGCACCUACCAGGAAGGGGAUUGUUUACAUAUGACCUACUGGAAAGCCCAUUGUUUAUGUAGGGCCUACCACAACAGGCCUUGUUUACAUCGUGUUCUCGCCCCUGGGUUUAUGUAGGGCCUACCAGAAAGCCGACUGUUUACGUAGGACCUGCCAGAAGUGGAGUUGUUUCCAUAGGACCCCCCAAAACCGCCUUCGUUUUGGUAGGACCUACAGAAACGCUCUUGUUUGCAUAGCACCCCCACGUGGAUUUGUUUACAUAGGACCUACAAAAACAAGCUUGUUUACGUAGGACACCCAACAAAGGGGUUUGUUUAUGUAGGCCCUACAAAAAGGGGCUUGUUUACGUGGGACACCCAAGCUGGUUUACGUAGGACCUACAGCAAGGCGUUUGUUUACAUCGGACCCGCCCCCAAAUCCCUCUUUGUUUGGGUAGGACCUACAGCAACACUCUCCUUUACGUAGCACCCCCACAUAGGUUUGUUUACGUAGGACCUACCGAAACAGCUCUGUUUACAUAGGACCCCCCCCCCACAAUGGGUCUUGUUUACGUAGGACCUACAAAAACUUGUUUACAUCCCCCCCCUCCAAACCUUCUCCGUUUACGUAGGCCCUACAGAAACGCCUUUGUUUAUGCGGCCCCGCCCCCACCCCCCGCGGCCCCGCCCCCACACGGCCGGCAUGGCUGCCAGGACCUCUUUAUUUACGUCGGGCCCUACAAAAACGCCCCCGCGCUAUGGGGCAGCCCCACGGCGGGGGGGGGGGCGA
RNAcentral lists this long non-coding RNA (1521 nucleotides) under Anser brachyrhynchus (Pink-footed goose). RNAcentral describes it as "lncRNA (ENSABRG00000012614.1)". The record is from RNAcentral. Lineage: Eukaryota; Metazoa; Chordata; Aves; Anseriformes; Anatidae.